RNAcentral lists this unclassified non-coding RNA (200 nucleotides) under soil metagenome. RNAcentral describes it as "partial internal transcribed spacer 1". The record is from RNAcentral.
CCGAGUUUACAACUCCCAAACCCAAUGUGAACGUUACCAAACUGUUGCCUCGGCGGGAUCUUCUGCCCCGGGUGCGUCGCAGCCCCGGACCAAGGCGCCCGCCGGAGGACCAACUCCAAAACUCUUUUGUAUACCCCCUCGCGGGUUUUUUAUAUCUGAGCCAUCUCGGCGCCUCUCGUAGGCGUUUCGAAAAUGAAUCA